UACGUAGGGUGCAAGCGUUGUCCGGAAUUAUUGGGCGUAAAGGGCCCGUAGGCGGUCUGUCGCGUCGGGAGUGAAAACUCAGGGCUUAACCCUGAGCCUGCUUCCGAUACGGGCAGACUAGAGGUAUGCAGGGGAGAACGGAAUUCCUGGUGUAGCGGUGGAAUGCGCAGAUAUCAGGAGGAACACCGGUGGCGAAGGCGGUUCUCUGGGCAUUACCUGACGCUGAGGAGCGAAAGUGUGGGGAGCGAACAGG
Molecule: ribosomal RNA, 253 nt
Filed under: uncultured bacterium
Lineage: Bacteria
Description: partial 16S ribosomal RNA
Rfam family: Bacterial small subunit ribosomal RNA
Source: RNAcentral